AUUUGUUAAGGAUGUUCUGGGCUAAUACUUCAAUAAAUACUAACUGAAUCAGUCAAUGCCUAUACAAUGUACAACUAUGGCACUGAAUAUUAAUAUUCGAGUUAUGGCAGUGAUUGACUUAUGACCUUGACUAAAGUCCAAACUGUUUGAACAAGUAUAGGCUGUAGCUUUAUGGAGCUGGAAGUAUUCAGGGCUCCCUGGAUACAUGUGCUCCCUGCAGUGUCCCACCUGCUCAGUAAAGCAACAGCAUAAAGCAAUGGUGAGCUGCAUCCACAAGCAGCCUCAGCUGCAAGAGAAACUCACCCCAGGUGGGUGCAUGUCCCUCAUCCUGCUCUAGCAGCCCCAAAGGAUGUGCCCUGACACCCAUGGCCAAACACUGGUGCUAACCUUAAAUCAGGAGCUACCAGCCACCACUGUGUGAGCUGUGCCUUAUGAUCCACCUGCAGGAGUUGAAAGGAUCUGUGCAGACACCUGUGUGUGAAGAGAGUGGUGUAUCCUGGGAAGUGCAGUAUGUCUUCUGGGCUUUGGGCUUUGCAAGUGGUACUGCCUUUUCCAGAAGCUGCAAACCAGUAUUUUCCUGACCUGGGUCUCUCUGUUGCUGGCUUCUGCACUUCAGUCAUGUGCAACUAAAACUUCUUGUCAGUCCCACUUUUGGAUGCUGAGGUUGAAGCUCAGAGCAUGAGUAUGUCUUUGGCUUGCCAAGCAGAGUAGCUGGAAAAUAGACCAGAAAGGCUAAGAGUCACUUCAGCUUUAUUGUCAGUAGGCUUAUGCCAACAUGAUGACUGUCUAGCAGCUUUUCAUGCUUGUCCACAUGCAUCUAGUUAUUAGCUGUAUGUCUCGUGAAAUGAUUUAAGUGACAUGAGUUCCAGAGCAAGAGAUUGCUGUGCACCUUUCAAGUUUUGUUGGUCACAAAGUGUGUUCCAGUGAAAAGGAAGCAGACUUGCUCAGGCACUUCUUGCACAGCCAAUAGAAGACAGCCCUAAGAUGUUUCAGCACUGGUGUGCGCCCUGCUGCUUCAUCUACUUCACCAGCUCUUGUUAUAGACACCAGUCCUGUGUUUACCAUGCACUUGCUGAAAUAUGGAGCUGCACAGAAUCAUAAGGAUCAAAGUGUCUGAGGUGUGUUCCUGAGAACCUGACUGUGAUGGAGACCUUGGAGUUGUACCUGGAAAGACCUAUGUUUCUCAGCGUGGAGAGUAGCAGAUAGAAGUCCAGUGUUCUUAGAAAACAUUUUAGUAUUGGCUUCAAAACCUGUCUGCUUAUUGCAAUCUACAAAGUCAAGACAAUUUACUUAAAAGGAUGGGAGAAUCUUCUGCCGGAGAACAGCCUGUGACUGAGAGAACCCCAGUGCUGAUCUCUUCUGCUGCCCAGAGUGUGACACUCACGUCACCAGCCAGUGCCUCGACCAAAUGGGGCACAAGCUCUACUGCAGUGGGGACAACUGUACCUACAGCUGUCAGCAGUGCCAUUGCCUGGCUUGGGUAAAGUGUUUUGGAGGGGAGCGAGAAUGAUGAUUGUUGUUUUUAG
Long non-coding RNA from Oxyura jamaicensis (ruddy duck), 1526 nucleotides. RefSeq lists it as uncharacterized. The transcript has 8 exons. NCBI's taxonomy places the organism in Eukaryota, Metazoa, Chordata, Aves, Anseriformes, Anatidae. The record is from RefSeq and is a predicted model, not a curated record.